GACGUAGGGCGCGAGCGUUGUCCGGAUUUAUUGGGCGUAAAGAGCUCGUAGGCGGCUUGUCGCGUCGACUGUGAAAACCCGCGGCUUAACUGCGGGCUUGCAGUUGAUACGGGCAGGCUAGAGUUCGGUAGGGGAGACUGGAAUUCCUGGUGUAGCGGUGAAAUGCGCAGAUAUCAGGAGGAACACCGGUGGCGAAGGCGGGUCUCUGGGCCGAUACUGACGCUGAGGAGCGAAAGCGUGGGGAGCGAACAGG
Molecule: ribosomal RNA, 253 nt
Filed under: uncultured bacterium
Lineage: Bacteria
Description: partial 16S ribosomal RNA
Rfam family: Bacterial small subunit ribosomal RNA
Source: RNAcentral